AGUGAACGCUGGCGGUAGGCCUAACACAUGCAAGUCGAACGGCAGCACAGAGGAGCUUGCUCCUUGGGUGGCGAGUGGCGGACGGGUGAGGAAUACAUCGGAAUCUACCUUUUCGUGGGGGAUAACGUAGGGAAACUUACGCUAAUACCGCAUACGACCUUCGGGUGAAAGUAGGGGAUCGCAAGACCUUACGCGGAUAGAUGAGCCGAUGUCGGAUUAGCUAGUUGGUGGGGUAAAGGCCCACCAAGGCGACGAUCCGUAGCUGGUCUGAGAGGAUGAUCAGCCACACUGGAACUGAGACACGGUCCAGACUCCUACGGGAGGCAGCAGUGGGGAAUAUUGGACAAUGGGCGCAAGCCUGAUCCAGCCAUACCGCGUGGGUGAAGAAGGCCUUCGGGUUGUAAAGCCCUUUUGUUGGGAAAGAAAUCCUGUCGGUUAAUACCCGGUAGGGAUGACGGUACCCAAAGAAUAAGCACCGGCUAACUUCGUGC
Molecule: ribosomal RNA, 491 nt
Filed under: uncultured bacterium
Lineage: Bacteria
Description: bacterial SSU rRNA
Rfam family: Bacterial small subunit ribosomal RNA
Source: RNAcentral